UGUGCACACUGUUAAAACCUGGCACUGAUGUUGGUGUUCAGGUGUCGGAAGUGUGCAAGAGUAAUCUGGCCGGUUUUCGCUAACACCAUGAGGACAGAUGUCCUAUGACUGGGGUUUGAUAGUAACCUGGGCCACAGUA
Small nucleolar RNA from Amphilophus citrinellus (Midas cichlid), 139 nucleotides. NCBI's taxonomy places the organism in Eukaryota, Metazoa, Chordata, Actinopteri, Cichliformes, Cichlidae. The record is from Ensembl.